CUGUUCGUAGUAGUGGUUGAUUUACAGGUACUGAUGUCGCUUCGUAUACAGGGAAAAUUUCUUUGUAUACGGCGGAUUUGUCGGCGUGCCCGGGGAACGUGACAUCCGGGGCGUGAUAGAUUAAGUUGGUAUCAGAGCUUUGCUGUACGUCGUUGGGACCUAGGAAACCUAAGUUUGGCAAACCUUAGGAAAGCAAGACACGAGAGGCGUAAUUUAAUUGCGAAAGUCAAUGAUUAUUUGUUUUAACUCCUCUUAGAGUAGAGUGAGUGACUGAAGGAGUUUCUGUUUUGGCCUGAAAAAUUAUGUUGGCUGCAGACGACAUAAUUUUGGAGGGAAACA
Molecule: long non-coding RNA, 339 nt
Filed under: Ananas comosus (pineapple)
Lineage: Eukaryota; Viridiplantae; Streptophyta; Magnoliopsida; Poales; Bromeliaceae
Description: long non-coding RNA (ACOM_LNC037991)
Source: RNAcentral